Camellia sinensis is the source of this 579-nucleotide non-coding RNA. The record is from RefSeq and is a predicted model, not a curated record. NCBI's taxonomy places the organism in Eukaryota, Viridiplantae, Streptophyta, Magnoliopsida, Ericales, Theaceae.
GCAUGAGGAGAGAGAAUAGGCAAUCUAUUUAUUAUUUGGUGAGAGCAUUUUUGUGCUUCAUCCUUGUUUUGAUAGAACCGUGAGAGACGAAGAGAACCGUGAGUGAUCAAUUCCUUAGAUCCUUGCGGGGAAUUUUGAAGAAGAUUAAGGAAGCUAGAGAAGAAGAAGAUUUAAAGGGGAAAUCAAAUCUAAUUGCUGAAAUUAAAAUUUGAGGUUCGAGCAUAAGGACGAAUCCACCGGCAGAACACUGUGAGCAAAGAGUUGACCAAACCCAACCUCAGUGAAAGAUAUGAAAGGAAGUCAAGUUUUAUGGAGUUAGCCUGCACGUCUCACGCACGAGACUUUAUUUUUGUUCUUGUGUUCACACUUUUGCUUGGCCGGUGAAUACGUUGGAUCAUCCAUGUAUAUAAGUUUGUUUUGUUUGACUGACUGCAUGUUUUGGAGUUCCUAGAUGUAUAAGAUAUUAACUCUGUUUUUAUGUGUGAGAUAUUAUGGACUAUUUAUGAAAUGUUUCGCUUUUUUUUUUUUGGGUAAAAAAGAAAUGUUUCGCUUUAUCAUGUAAGCACAGCUCAUUGGACA